GCAUAUCAAUAAGCGGAGGAAAAGAAACCAACAGGGAUUGCCUUAGUAACUGCGAGUGAAGCGGCAAAAGCUCAAAUUUGAAAAUCUGGCGUCUUUGACGUCCGAAUUGUAAUUUGGAGAGACAUCUUCGGAGUAGACGCCGUCCUAAGUUCCUUGGAACAGGACGUCACAGAGGGUGAGAAUCCCGUGCCUGGAUGGCUGUUCUACUUCAUGUGAAGUGUCUUCGACGAGUCGAGUUGUUUGGGAAUGCAGCUCAAAAUGGGAGGUAAAUUUCUUCUAAAGCUAAAUAUUGGCGAGAGACCGAUAGCGCACAAGUAGAGUGAUCGAAAGAUGAAAAGCACUUUGAAAAGAGAGUUAAAAAGUACGUGAAAUUGUUGAAAGGGAAGCGCUUGAGACCAGACUCGAUCAGUGGUGAUCAGCGGUGCUUCUGUACCGUGCACUUGCCAUUGAUUGGGCCAGCAUCGGUUUAGACGGCGGGAUAAAGACCUAAGGAAUGUGGCUCCUCUCGGGGAGUGUUAUAGCCUUGGGUGCAAUGCCGCCAGUUUGGACCGAGGACCGCGCUUCGGCUAGGAUGCUGGCGUAAUGGUCUUCAGCGACCCGUCUUGAAACACGGACCAAGGAGUCUAACAUCUAUGCGAGUGUUCGGGUGGAAAACCCUUGCGCGUAAUGAAAGUGAACGGAGGUGAGAACACUUCGGUGUGCAUCAUCGACCGAUCCAGAUGUCUUCGGAUGGAUUUGAGUAUGAGCAUAGCUGUUGGGACCCGAAAGAUGGUGAACUAUGCCUGAAUAGGGUGAAGCCAGAGGAAACUCUGGUGGAGGCUCGCAGCGGUUCUGACGUGCAAAUCGAUCGUCAAAUUUGGGGUAUAGGGGCGAAAGACUAAUCGAACCAUCUAGUAGCUGGUUCCUGCCGA
This 911-nucleotide ribosomal RNA is filed under the name Rhinotrichum lanosum. RNAcentral's name for it is "LSU rRNA". It matches the Rfam family "Eukaryotic large subunit ribosomal RNA", at positions 38 to 964 of the family's 3401-position model. The record is from RNAcentral. Lineage: Eukaryota; Fungi; Ascomycota.